Molecule: transfer RNA, 74 nt
Filed under: Brassica napus (rape)
Lineage: Eukaryota; Viridiplantae; Streptophyta; Magnoliopsida; Brassicales; Brassicaceae
Rfam family: tRNA
About the family: Transfer RNA (tRNA) molecules are approximately 80 nucleotides in length. Their secondary structure includes four short double-helical elements and three loops (D, anti-codon, and T loops).
Source: Rfam by way of RNAcentral
GCUUCAGUAGCUCAGUUGGUUAGAGCAUGUGGCUGUUAACCCCAAGGUCAGAGGUUUGACCUCUCCCUGGAGCU